RNAcentral lists this transfer RNA (82 nucleotides) under Phakopsora pachyrhizi. RNAcentral's name for it is "tRNA-Lys". It matches the Rfam family "tRNA". Rfam says of the family: Transfer RNA (tRNA) molecules are approximately 80 nucleotides in length. Lineage: Eukaryota; Fungi; Basidiomycota; Pucciniomycetes; Pucciniales; Phakopsoraceae. The record is from RNAcentral.
GCCCGGUUAGCUCAGUCGGUAGAGCGUUCGGCUUUUACUAAACAACACCGAAAUGUCGGGGGUUCGAGCCCCCCAUUGGGCG